UACGUAGGUGGCAAGCGUUGUCCGGAUUUACUGGGCGUAAAGAGCGCGCAGGCGGUCUUUUAAGUCGAAUGUGAAAGCCCCCGGCUCAACUGGGGAGGGUCAUUCGAUACUGAUCGACUUGAAGGCAGGAGAGGGUAGUGGAAUUCCCGGUGUAGUGGUGAAAUGCGUAGAUAUCCGGAGGAACACCAGUGGCGAAAGCGGCCACCUGGACUGUACCUGACGCUCAAACGCGAAAGCUAGGGGAGCGAACGGG
This 253-nucleotide ribosomal RNA is filed under the name uncultured bacterium. RNAcentral's name for it is "partial 16S ribosomal RNA". It matches the Rfam family "Bacterial small subunit ribosomal RNA", at positions 524 to 776 of the family's 1533-position model. The record is from RNAcentral.